GACGAACGCUGGCGGCGUGCUUAACACAUGCAAGUCGAACGAUGAAGCUGGAGCUUGCUCUAGCGGAUUAGUGGCGAACGGGUGAGUUACACGUGAGCAAUCUGCCCUUGACUCUGGGAUAACUGCGGGAAACUGUAGCUAAUACCGGAUACUUUCACCGGGGGGCAUCCUCUGGUGAUGAAAGAAUUUCGGUCAAGGAUGAGCUCGCGGCCUAUCAGCUUGUUGGUGAGGUAACGGCUCACCAAGGCGACGACGGGUAACCGGCCUGAGAGGGUGUCCGGUCACACUGGGACUGAGACACGGCCCAGACUCCUACGGGAGGCAGCAGUGGGGAAUAUUGCACAAUGGGCGCAAGCCUGAUGCAGCAACGCCGCGUGAGGGAUGAAGGCCUUCGGGUUGUAAACCUCUUUUAGCAGGGAAGAAGCGAAAGUGACGGUACCUGCAGAAAAAGCACCGGCUAACUACGUGCCAGCCGCCGCCGUAA
Molecule: ribosomal RNA, 484 nt
Filed under: uncultured bacterium
Lineage: Bacteria
Description: partial 16S ribosomal RNA
Rfam family: Bacterial small subunit ribosomal RNA
Source: RNAcentral